UACGAAGGGGGCUAGCGUUGUUCGGAAUCACUGGGCGUAAAGCGCACGUAGGCGGAUCGUUAAGUCGGGGGUGAAAUCCUGGAGCUCAACUCCAGAACUGCCUUCGAUACUGUAGAGCUUGAGUUCGGGAGAGGUGAGUGGAACUGCGAGUGUAGAGGUGAAAUUCGUAGAUAUUCGCAAGAACACCAGUGGCGAAGGCGGCUCACUGGCCCGAUACUGAUGCUGAGGUGCGAAAGCGUGGGGAGCAAACAGG
RNAcentral lists this ribosomal RNA (253 nucleotides) under uncultured bacterium. RNAcentral describes it as "partial 16S ribosomal RNA". It matches the Rfam family "Bacterial small subunit ribosomal RNA", at positions 524 to 776 of the family's 1533-position model. The record is from RNAcentral.